This 73-nucleotide transfer RNA is filed under the name Acetobacteroides hydrogenigenes. Its description in RNAcentral is "Bacteroidetes bacterium RL-C tRNA". It matches the Rfam family "tRNA". From Rfam's summary of the family: Transfer RNA (tRNA) molecules are approximately 80 nucleotides in length. Their secondary structure includes four short double-helical elements and three loops (D, anti-codon, and T loops). RNAcentral also lists the same sequence under 1 other name. Lineage: Bacteria; Pseudomonadati; Bacteroidota; Bacteroidia; Bacteroidales; Rikenellaceae. The record is from Rfam by way of RNAcentral.
CGGUUCGUAGCUCAGUUGGUAGAGCACGUGACUCUUAAUCAUGGGGUCGUGAGUUCGAUCCUCACCGAACCGA